AUAUAUAUAUAUAUAAAGCCGAUGGUUGUGACAUUUAAUUUUCGAUUUGUUUCGGAGGUUUCAUAACGGUUGUUGGUGAUGACGGUGAUACAACUGGGUGGAAGUUUACUUCCUUUAAAAAAUAAGGGUCAGAACUUAGAAUCGAAACACUUCUUUGGUUGUGCCCUUUUGAGGCUACUUAAGAAAGAGAAUAGCAUUUUUUUCCAAGUUGCUCCACUUUAUUAUAAUAUUGUCUUGGUACAAAGGGUGAAACUUUAAUUUGGUUGUUGAAUGGUGCUCGUUGCAUUUUGUUCUAAUAUGGUUUGAAUAUCUGUUGUUGGUGGUUAUUGAUUAUUUAAAUGUAAAUGAUGCAGUUGUGGGUUAGAAUUAUGUGAUGAUAUUUAUUCUUUGCUUUCUGGAGACUGUUUGUAUGGAAAGAUAAUGUUUUUCAUUGGGCUCUGGAAUCUGAGUGGUGAUUGCAUUCUUUUAAGGUUGUUGAUGUAAUUUAGUGAAAAUAUAUUGCCCAAAUGAUAUUAUCGAAUUGUAGCUCAUUCAUUUGGAUUUGAAGUUGACUGUCUUUUUAGACAGUAAAAUAUUGUUGUAGAAUGAGUAUCUCCUUUUUACUGAAUGAUCAGAAUCUAUGGAACGAUUUAGUGUGAGGAAUUCUUAUUGAUUUUUUCCAUGAGAUUUAGUUUUGUGAAACUUUUACUCUGCUCUGUAGAAUGUUACAAGCGUAGCAUUUUUCUCUAGUAACAGAGGGAAUUGGUAAUUGUAUAGAGGC
This 760-nucleotide long non-coding RNA is filed under the name Elaeis guineensis (African oil palm). RNAcentral describes it as "long non-coding RNA (EGUI_LNC074467)". The record is from RNAcentral. Lineage: Eukaryota; Viridiplantae; Streptophyta; Magnoliopsida; Arecales; Arecaceae.